Molecule: long non-coding RNA, 253 nt
Filed under: Vigna radiata
Lineage: Eukaryota; Viridiplantae; Streptophyta; Magnoliopsida; Fabales; Fabaceae
Description: long non-coding RNA (VRAD_LNC004851)
Source: RNAcentral
GUUAGUAUAGGACUAACACUGUUAAAGAAGGUGUCACGUGUGAGUUUGUGGGUUUUUUCUUAUUAUUUUAAAUAUUUUUUUUUAAUUUUUUAAUUUUUAAACUUUUUUAUAUCAUUUUCAAAUAAUAACAAUUUGCCACUUGUCAAACUAAUGGUGUGUCAUGUUGCAAUGACAAUGUGAUGUGAUAGUGGUAGUGCCACGUGUGGAAGAGUAUGGAAGAGCAUGGAAGAAGAAGAAGGAGCAACAUACUUUU